GUCGGCGUAGAGCAGCCCGGUAGCUCGUCAGGAAGGCCGCAGGUUCGAAUCCUGUCGCCGCAACCA
RNAcentral lists this transfer RNA (66 nucleotides) under Ensifer meliloti. Its description in RNAcentral is "Sinorhizobium meliloti tRNA-OTHER". It matches the Rfam family "tRNA". Rfam says of the family: Transfer RNA (tRNA) molecules are approximately 80 nucleotides in length. Their secondary structure includes four short double-helical elements and three loops (D, anti-codon, and T loops). Further hydrogen bonds mediate the characteristic L-shaped molecular structure. tRNAs have two regions of fundamental functional importance: the anti-codon, which is responsible for specific mRNA codon recognition, and the 3' end, to which the tRNAs corresponding amino acid is attached (by aminoacyl-tRNA synthetases). tRNAs cope with the degeneracy of the genetic code in two manners: having more than one tRNA (with a specific anti-codon) for a particular amino acid; and 'wobble' base-pairing, i.e. permitting non-standard base-pairing at the 3rd anti-codon position. Lineage: Bacteria; Pseudomonadati; Pseudomonadota; Alphaproteobacteria; Hyphomicrobiales; Rhizobiaceae. The record is from RNAcentral.